This 1431-nucleotide long non-coding RNA is filed under the name Homo sapiens (human). Its description in RNAcentral is "HSALNT0026859". Lineage: Eukaryota; Metazoa; Chordata; Mammalia; Primates; Hominidae. The record is from RNAcentral.
AUAAUAUGCAAAUUAUGCUCUUUCAAAUUUCAAAAUUAACCUCAAGGCAUGUUCUAUAUCAUAAGAACUCUUUUCUACAGCAGGUUCAACCUGGAUCAGAAGCCAAGACCAAUGCCGCACUUGGAAGGGACGACCAAUAGUUCUGUGUUCCUGACCUGUCUUACAGUCUUUCGCUUCUAUCCGCAGUGGACCAUUUGGCUGAUCACGUCACUCUACAGCUGUUCUGCCACAUUUGAGCACCCACAUUAAAGACAAAAGUUGGGGAGAUAAUGAAGAGGCAAGACAGCAAUAUGGGAUUGGCUGGAAAGAUGACAGACUGCAUAUGCACAUCAAAUAAAUUCCAAACGCAGCCAUCUAUUCCCAAGGUAUCUUAACUCCACCAGAUAUCUCACUGCUGUCUGUCAAUGAUUACGCUGUCUAGUUUUAAUAUUGAAAGCAAGUUUUCACCUUCAGCAAAGCCAUGCAAUGUGACCAGCAUGUGAUCUAAGAAUUCAAGCCUGUACCAGCUGUUCUCUAAACACUGAGUCCCACCAACCAUGGCAGGAAGAGUGGGCCUUGGGUUGAUAUGGCUGCCAGCUCACCAAUCCCUCCAAAUGUUCCUCAUGUGACCUCUUUUUAGGAAUCUCUAUUCCAGGCCCUUCAUUCUGACCAUCACCACCUGCAUCUUGUAUCCUGGAUUCUUUUAAGAAUUUUAAAUAGUGCACUAGAGGUUGUAGAAGAGAUACUUAAGAUAUGGGUGUCUUUACUCUAUUCUUAAGAGGCCGUUCAUGAUACAUGGAGGUCAAUGACAUCAGAAUCUUAUAAACCUGACAUAAAGAUUGUAGGGAGCCCUUAGCAGGAGAGAAGAUCAUUGAGUGCCCAUGGCUGCAGCAGAAGGUAGAAGAGGAACUGGAUAGCAGCCUGGAGCCAGAGAGAAUCAUCACCCACAGCCAGGGAGGCGUGGACUUGUUUUGCAUUGGUUGUUUAGUUUUGCUUUUAUUCUCCUGCUUCCCUGAAUGGAUCUCUGUCAGUGCUUUAACAUCAACAGAGUAAGAAUAAAACAUGGGUCAGCCCUGUCUCGCCCAAGGUGGGUGGGUGAUGUUAAUUUGGAACUAGACCACAGCAUGGGUGGAGUCCUCAGCAAAUGGUACAGCAGACUUGGCCAGCCUGACAGAGCCCCUGAGCCCCACCUCCACCAAGUGGGACAUGUAAUGACAGAGAGGUUGAUAACCAUGGGGACAGAGCAGCGCCUGGAAAGGAAAUCCUAGAAAGUUCUAUGGUGGGGAGAAGGCAGUAAGGAGAGUCCAGACCCUAGAAUGUAACACAGGGAACUCUGUUCCCUGGAACAGCCCCAAAUUUUCCUGAAGGAAAAUAAACUAAAGGCAUGCUUUUACUCCAUCAUCCAGCACACAUUGUAAACAAAGCAGCUAGUAGUCCCAUGAGAAUAAAAGA